This 521-nucleotide ribosomal RNA is filed under the name uncultured bacterium. RNAcentral describes it as "bacterial SSU rRNA". It matches the Rfam family "Bacterial small subunit ribosomal RNA", at positions 17 to 518 of the family's 1533-position model. The record is from RNAcentral.
UCCUGGCUUAGAACGAACGCUGGCGGCGUGCUUAACACUUGCAAGUCGAACGCGAAAGGGACUUCGGUCCUGAGUAAAGUGGCGCACGGGUGAGUAACGCGUAGAUAACCUGUCUUCAUGUCUGGAAUAAUACGCCAAAGGGGUACUAAUACCGGAUAUUCUUGCUUUUCAUAAGUUAUGCAAGCAAAGGUGGCCUCUGCAUAUGCUACUGCAUGAAGAGGGGUCUGCGUACCAUUAGCUAGUAGGUGGGGUAAUGGCCUACCUAGGCGACGAUGGUUAGCGGGUCUGAGAGGAUGAUCCGCCACACUGGCACUGGAACACGGGCCAGACUCCUACGGGAGGCAGCAGUGAGGAAUAUUGCGCAAUGGGGGAAACCCUGACGCAGCGACGCCGCGUGAAGUGAGGAAGGCCUUCGGGUCGUAAAGCUCUGUCAAGAGGAAAGAAGUGUACAAUGGCUAAUACCUGUUGUAUUUGACGGUACCUCUAAAGGAAGUACCGGCUAACUCCGUGCCAGCCGCCGC